Molecule: long non-coding RNA, 775 nt
Organism: Larimichthys crocea (large yellow croaker)
Lineage: Eukaryota; Metazoa; Chordata; Actinopteri; Sciaenidae
Exons: 3
Source: RefSeq, a predicted model, not a curated record
GACAUACAGAAAGUGAACAACAUUUAGCUGAGUUAAAGGAAAAAAACCCAAAAUGAAAUGCAAGUGUUGCUUGUUUUCCAGUGCUGCUAACGGUAUUACAUACAUAUUAUAUUACAGUGCGUUUUUAAAACGUGUCAUGGCAUGGAGAGAGGAUGACUUCUUUCCACAAGCAAUCACAACAAGCGCAGGAGGACUCACUGUGACAUGAAUAUGAACGACUUCAUCUGCACUGACAGAGAGGAUGAUGUACUUCUAAACACUCCUUUCCUCCAUCAGCAGUCUAGGGGACCUUGGGGUGACCAAUCAAUGUCCUGUAUCAUCCAUCACCAUGGAGACACAGAAGUUGAGCAUGGAUCAUAACAUUUCACCUUUGUUAUCCCUCCUUGGCUUUGAAGCCAGCUAACAAUCAGUGCGAGCGUAAGAAGUUGGCAGGCAUCGAGGAGGAAGGAGUGGUGGAGGAAAAAGGGGUGGAAGCAGACGAGGAGAGGACACUGCAGGAGGAGGCUGUGAUAAAAAAUGAGGAUACAGCAGAGCACAAAGGGGAAGAGAUGGAAAAGGGUGUCGCUGCAGGAGAGAAGUGGAGGCCCGAGCAGGAGGUGGUGCAGAACUUUUUUAACACACACAGAGUGGAAAAUCUCAAUCUAUUAAGGCAAUUUAAAAAUUUGCAAAAAGCCACCAUGGGGGGUUUGAACUUCCCUGUCUGCCUCUUUUUUUUAAUUUUUGCAACACUAUAAAAGCCUUACAGGAAAGGCAGUCUGAGAAAUGUGCACCUUUA